ACCAUCCACGGGGCGCAGCAGUGGGGAAUAUUGCACAAUGGGGGAAACCCUGAUGCAGCGACGCCGCGUGAGUGAAGAAGUAUCUCGGUACGUAAAGCUCUAUCAGCAGGGAAGAAAAUGACGGUACCUGACUAAGAAGCCCCGGCUAACUACGUGCCAGCAGCCGCGGUAAUACGUAGGGGGCAAGCGUUAUCCGGAUUUACUGGGUGUAAAGGGAGCGUAGACGGCUGGCCAAGUCUGAAGUGAAAGCCCGGGGCUUAACCCCGGAACGGCUUUGGAAACUGGCCGGCUGGAGUGCUGGAGAG
This 305-nucleotide ribosomal RNA is filed under the name uncultured bacterium. Its description in RNAcentral is "bacterial SSU rRNA". It matches the Rfam family "Bacterial small subunit ribosomal RNA", at positions 333 to 656 of the family's 1533-position model. The record is from RNAcentral.